AGGUUCAAGGGUAGUCCUACUUGAUGACAACCCACCAAGUCUCUCUGACACCUGCUCACCAGUCUUCCUGGACCUGAAAUCUUGCUCAGAUUUUCCAGAGCAUUUUGCAUUUCUGUCUAGCAGAGCAACUGCGAGAUCUAGGAGGCGCCUCACUCUCUACUCUGGAAAAGAUAAGAACUGAAGAGUAAAUAAAUACCUGAGAGAAACACAUCACUGCAAGAAAAGAGGCAGAAGUGCAGGUACAUUCAUUGGAACUAUGUCUCAGAAAUAGUACAUAUUUGAAACAUUUAACCUUCAUAAAUUUUUUAUAAGGAUCCAUAUUCAUAUCCUCAAUUAUACAUUAGGGAACCAAGGCUCAUCAAGUAAUGUGGUCAAUGCAAAAAUUAAAUUAGUAAGUGAAGAAACUGGGUUUCACACCCAUAUCUAACUUCAAAAUCCAUGUGACUGACACUACCAUCCUUCCUUGCCAACACUAGUUCAGAUACCAAAGGAUAAAAGUAGACUUUUAAUUUAUUAUAUGAUUGCAAAAUUGUGUAUGCUCAUUAUAAAAUUUGUAAAAACAGAAAGCCAUAAGCAAAAAGAUCCACAAUCCCACCCACCUAGCAAUACCCAUUGUUAAUAUUUUGAAGUAGGUUCUAUUUUUUAUGAAUGAUAUAAUUAUCUUUUAAGUAAAUCAUGAUAUAAUGCUGUUUUAUAAUCUGCUUUUUUAUGAACCUUCCCAAUCUGCUUAUUUUUCCACAAUGUCAUUUUUAGACAAUUACACAUUGUUCCACAAAAUUAAUAGACUACAAUUAAUUUAAGCAUUCUAAAUUGAUAUUUAGGUUGAUAUGAUUUUUUACUAUUAUAAUGAAAACGAUGACAAACAUUCUUGUCAAUGAUUUUAUGAGCAUGUUUAGUUUAUAAGAAUAAAUUUGUAAAGCAAUAUUGCUGAAUCAAAGUGCAUGCAUUUCUUCAAGUCUUUCACUAUAUUACCAAAUUGUAUUUCACAAAUUUUUACAGCAAUUUAUACUUUCACCAGCAUAUUUGGGAAUACAUCUCUCCUUGCAACUUUAAUAACACAAGGAAUUAUCAUUUUUCCAUUGCUAUUAGUUGAUAAACAGAAAAGAG
Molecule: long non-coding RNA, 1107 nt
Filed under: Homo sapiens (human)
Lineage: Eukaryota; Metazoa; Chordata; Mammalia; Primates; Hominidae
Description: HSALNT0175441
Source: RNAcentral